RNAcentral lists this long non-coding RNA (866 nucleotides) under Hordeum vulgare. RNAcentral describes it as "long non-coding RNA (HVUL_LNC011181)". The record is from RNAcentral. Lineage: Eukaryota; Viridiplantae; Streptophyta; Magnoliopsida; Poales; Poaceae.
UAAUCACACAUCAAGCUCCUCUUGACAGAACCACCUAUACUGCUGAUCAACUAAUCAAUCUCAUCUUUGCCUAGCUAGGCAGUGAGAAGGUAAAAUGGCGGCAUCUAUGCGCUCCCAGCUGAAGCUACUCGUGUCGCAGGGGAAGCGACCGUGGAGCUAUCCUAUCAUUACCUCUUCUCUUAGCAGUACCACGAGAUUCCCUCGGCACAAGAAUCGUGAUCCUCCAGCCGAGCAAGCCGAGGACACUCACGCCGUUCAGCAGCCUACACCCGCUCCUGCAGGUAUGCACUCAGCUACUACUACUCCUACUUAUAUAUAUAUUCUCAGCAUGCAUGCAUUACACACAUCUUAUUGCCUCCAAUGUUGUGAUAAUAAUCUGUGGCGUUGCAGUUUCUGAUCUUAAACACAUAGGACACGAUGGUGCAGUUGAGCAUGCCGGGAAGCCCAAGCUUGACAGUUCCACCAGUUUCCCUCCACACAAAAUUCAUGAUCCUGUCGGCGGUUACUCCUUCCACGAAGUAUCAUGAAGGCCCGAAUACUGUCGUGGCACACCUUGGGUGCGGGAGAAGGCACUAGUGUUUCAUCUUCUUUUGUCGGGUAAUCCCUAGGGUUUGGAAGCCUAUCGUCCAAGGCCCUCAUCUAUAUAGAAGACCUUUGGAUUUGCUUUAGGGGAGGCAUAUGGUUUCUCCUGUAUCCUUUGCCGAAGGACUUAAAUCUUUAAUAAAGCAUUCCUUCUAAAAAAUCCUUUGCCGAAGGAGGAGUUAAUUGCCAAACUUUAGCAAUAUCACAACCAUAUUGUAUUAUUUCUCCUGAUGAGGUUCAAGUGGUCCCACCUCCUGGACUAUGGGUUUAUAAUACUCCCUCCG